CUCUCCACCACCAAGGUGCUCCAUCCCCACCCCGUCACCAAGAACUCCGGCCUCUUCGUCAUCCUGGGUGCCGGGCAGAUCCCGGGGAAGACUAUGUCGGACGUGGAGAAGCACUUCCCACGCUAUCUUGCUCCUCCACUGCCGGCCCCACGUCGUCCUGCCUACCAGUGCCCCCCACGCGGCCCUGCUCCCCGCCGUUGCCCCCUCCAGGUUGCCGGCGGCGGAGAUUUAUGUCCGUGCGAACAUCCCGAUCGGAAACAUCAGUGCCAGUGGGUUCUUCUUCAGAGACCAUCCAUUUGACGUUCUGCCCCGAGUCCCGAUGACCUUCUUAUGUGCGGAUGUCAAAAGACAUGCCUUCUUUGUACCAUUCGCGAGACCAAACAGUGCCUGACAAAAGAAGGCAGCCAAACCUACUAACCAGCGGGAUCCGAAUGAUGUGUGGAUUUCCAAAAGGAAGAAGAAGGCCAUUCACAAGACCACGACCACUGAUGGCAAGAUCACGACCUUGAAAAUGGUAGUAAUGAACACCAUUCUUGGUAUCGAAGAGGUCAACAUUGUCAAGGAUGACUUAGUUAUCCAAUUUCAGAAUUCGAAAUGUGAAAUGUUGACAUGUUAUACCAUUACUUCUAUAGAAUUGAGGAUCCACUUAAACAUUUCUUCUAACAUUGGUGAUUCUUGAUUUCUCCCAGUGCAAACAUCCAUCACAACACAUGGGUAGUCACUGGAACACCUCCGUUGAAAAGUAACUCUUGCUUUAGAAUCUUCAUGGCUUAAUUGUUUCGUCGAGUAGCCUUAUUUUUCUGGAGCAACAUAAAUAUCUUUAAGAUAUGUCAAACUGCUUUCGCAGGCAGUGAUCUGAAUUUUAUUUGUACAUCUACUUUUAAGUUUGAUGGGUAUGUAAAUAUUAUUAAUGUACAUGGCAUAAUAUGAUAUCCACUUGAACUCCUUGUCAAUAUUCAAUAUCAAAGUUGAAUAUGUCCGCCUUGCCCCAAACUCCACAGUCUUAGUCACUGCAAUUUAACUUUAUUUAUAUAUGCAAUAAAAGUAGUUGAAAACCAAACUGGUAAAUUCUAGUUGUACCAUAUUUGUUCUUUGAGAGUUGCACUACAUUCUUUGACUUGACAUAACUGCAAUUUCACCUUUGGCCCUUUAUUUUUGACAGAGCUGCAAGCUAUGUUUUUAAGGCGGUAAGGCGAGGCGAGGCGCUGGAGGGGCGCCUCACUGCCUAAGCGGUAAGGCAUAAGGCGAGGCGACGCCUUAGACACAUACAUAUAUAAUAGAUGGCAGCCAAUUAGGAGAUUUAACUACUAGCAUUGACAUCAUAAAUUGUACAUACAUAUAUAACAGAUGGCAGCCAUUUAGGAAAUUUAACAACUAACAGUAACAUAAUUAGUUGUUGCCAAAUCAUAGGCCUCAAAUCAUCUUCUGUAUAUGACAGAACGGCGCCUUUGAACUUCAGCUUCAUCCUUCUCAUCAAUAUAUCGCUCCAUAGCUUUAAACUUUCUAGUGUUUAAGGUUUUGCGCAUCUCUAUCCUAAUCUCCAUAGAUGCCUCGGGACACAUAUCUGCAUCACUACAACCCCCAGAAAGGUGCUGCUUCAGCCUUCUCACUCCAGCAUGGACUAUCUUGCCACACAAUGUACACUGGAGUAAAUCUUUCCUCUCUAAAUCUGGCCAGAACCCAUACUUCGAAACUGGAUCAUCUGAUGUAGCUCUUCUCCUAGGAUCCAUCAGAGCAGGGCCACCUCGCUGCUGCAGCAACACUGAGAAAAGACCCAAUCAACCGUCAAAGAGAGAAGAGCCAAAUCACUAGAGCAAGCAGACAAGCAUGGGGAAGGAGAGAAGCGAUGGUGGGGUUGCUGCCUUGUGGAUGGAGAAGCAGAUUUGGGAGCAAACAGAUGCAGAGGAGGAGCAGGCAAGCAGCCAAGCACAUCUACAGAUCUACCUACAAUGCAGGAAGAAACAAAGUACUAGGAGGGGUAGAAGAAAAUUCAGAGGAGGCCAGGAUAGAAGUGAGAUGAGAACGGGAGCCACACCUUGCUGUUGCGCCAGAGUUGGAGGGAGAGCUGAGCCCGGCGAGGAGGGGCACAGAUCGGAGCUGUAGAGGAAGGAGCCGCCGCCAAAGGUCAGAGAGGAGAGAAGGAAACCCUAUCGGGUGGAUUGGACGAUUGGUUCGAUCCUCUCUGUCCCGCCCUUCGCCUUAUACCUGUUCGCACUCGCGCGCGAGCCCAAUAUUUCCAGCGAAAGCCCGCGAAAGCUUCCCGCGUGGGCCACUCUUUCCCGCCUGGAAGCAGCCCAUGGCGUCCGAUCUGGCCCAAGGCGCCGCCCUACGCGCCUAGGCGGACGAUUCAGACGCCCUAGGAUCUAAAGCGGACGCUUUACGACGAUGUGUAAGGCAGGUUCGACGCCUUGCCAUCGGAGGGCGCCCCGACGCUAAGGCGUCGCCUAAGCGACGCUUCACAGACGCCUUAAAAACAGAGGCUGCAAGAUAUUCUGGCAACACUUAUCAACCAACUGGUAAGUCCCUUUACAUUCUCACAUUAGUCCAAUGGUUGCCUAUGUUUCCGGAAAAAUAUCGCCAUACUUGAAAUGGAAGACAGUAAAACAUUUGAACCAAACUAGUGCCUUUAUACCAUGCCUCAAUAGGAAAUUCCUUUUCGACAGGACCUGAUAACAUGGAUAGCCUGUGAAGCUAUAUAGCGAUGUACCUCUUCUGGUUGUUGAUUAUUAAAAUUUUAUUGUUUGACACUCAUCUCCACCCAAUUAACUUUCAAUGACCAGGAGCUAGUCAUCCAUGGUGGCAACGACAUCGGGAAGAUCUCACCUUGCUUUUUUACUUGGAUUUAUAGCCUGGGUUUGUUGGUGAAGUAAUGAUCGAAGGAGAUAUUAAAUUGUUGUCUGUGGUAGCAAAUGGCUUGCCUACAACAGAGGACUUUGAGCAUGUCACUGAUUUGGAAAUAUUGAAGGUUCCACCUGUCCCCAUGGAUAAAUUCCUUUAUCUUUUUAUUGGGUUAAUCUCUACAGCAAAUAAUUUUAAACGUAGAAUAGUGGUUCGUAGAACUGGGGUAUCAUGCGUGGGUAGUGACCACCUUAUUGAAGAUCCUUCUUCCUGUUUUGAUUGCAUUUUCAUUCACUAUGUACUUGGUUACACCUUGUCACAAGACAACACUCUUCAAAAUUUUGUCAAAACUCUUCUUGUGUUCUGUUUAUUCUAGAAUUACAGCUCCUCACUUCAUGGUCAAUACUUAUGUGCCUCUUUUGCUGCCUUUGAUAAAAUCAUAAAAAUGAGGUGGUGAACGAGGAGCUCUGGAAUGAAGCACAGACAUAUGGAGACAUCAAGUUGCUGCUGUUUGUUGAUUAUUAUAACAAGUGGAAUGGCAAGUUAUCCCCCAUGGGCAAUAGACCAGGAUAAAUUGUAUGUCAGGAUAUAGCAAAAGAAGUUUACAGGAAACACAAAAGAGGGGAGCAAAAGAUUUUCAAGCUGGAGGAUGUCCUCCAAGAUGAAGAAUGAAAGCUUUGAUGUCAAGUAUGAGAACGAUGCAAGGAUCUUUUUCGAAGGCUAUGCGGAUGGGCAUGUAGUUGCUUCCCCACUAGUAGGAGCCAAGGCAGACAAUGUGCCUUUUAGACAAAUUCUAGAAAACAAAACAAGGAUUUUUUGCUCUCAGACAAUGAACCAUAACGUUUCCUUUAUUUAAUUACUUACAUUGGUUUAUAGGAAACUUUGAUGGUCAUCAGUUCAUAACAG
Molecule: ribosomal RNA, 3744 nt
Filed under: Triticum aestivum (bread wheat)
Lineage: Eukaryota; Viridiplantae; Streptophyta; Magnoliopsida; Poales; Poaceae
Description: partial small subunit ribosomal RNA
Source: RNAcentral